GUCUCCCAGGGUUUUGAAAAUGUCUGCUUUGUAAAUGCCCAUUCUCAAUUUGCACUGUCCUUCUGCGGUCAAUGUUUGUGUAUUUGCUUUUUUUUUAUCAGUUUGUCUCUUUGAUUAUAUCUCAUUUGGGCCAUUGUUUAUCCUUUGGGACAAAGAUGGUGCAAGGUAUUGUGGUUAUAGCUGCAAUGCAGAGGUAUCCAGGAUUGUGUCCAUUCAGAAAAACAUUAAAACAUUUAAGCUGCAAUCUAUCCCAGCAUGGUAUUUGGAUCAAUGGAUUAAGUGAGCAUCAGAAAGUCAGAGCAGUAUAAAUUUAAGGGAUACAUAUGGAAUCCUGAUGACUUACAAAGCAAAAAUCAUGUAGCUUGCAGGUAAGCCCGAUUAAUCAAUGAAACAGUUUAUGUCUAUUCUCUGCAUCCUGUCUCAAGAGUCUCCUGAAGAGAUAAGGGCAGAGAGGGCUAAUCACAGGUGCUGAAGUUGUCGCAUCUAGGAUUGCUGUGUGGAAUCAGAAAAUGCUGAUGAUACUCCUAGUCUGAGCAGAACCAUACAGGUGAAGAGCGCUUUGGAGGCCACUAGAGGGACGAAAAUACAUACUCAAACUACUCAUUCAAUUUUUCAAAAGUAUUACAAAUUUGAGAUAUAGUACUGCUGAACCGCAGAGACCACAUGGUGUACGGAACUACACAACUCAUCAUGGUGCCAACUGCCUAACCCCUAAUUUCUGUUUGUUGAUGGAAGGACAAGGGAGGCUGGACAGAGAGCACCGAGAAGGAACAGUUGCAGAGUCUGCUGGACACAUCAAGGUAGAAAUGGAAGUCCUCAUGCAGAAUGUGAUGGCCUCCCGAACUGUGAGCUGCAGGAGACCAUAACAUGGUUCGUCACCUCCAGGCCAGAAUAGACCAGCUGUAGGACCUUGAUUGCCAUCUCGAGGAGGAACUCCUGAGCUGCUAAAGCCAUUUGAUCAGCGGAAACAUUGAUUCCUACUUUAAUUUUUUCUUCAGUUCGGAGCAUAGCAUUGGCUUGCUUUAGCUGCCACCUACAUUUUAAAGUGAUCCCCGAUGAAGCGUCAACAAGGACCAAGCCAAAGUCAGCAGUUCUUUCUCAGAAAAGACAAGAUUUGAACAGAUCCAGAAAAGGCAAUGCAGUGAUCCAGUUUGGCUGGGAGCAAAUAGUUCCUUUUAGUAAUUGUCUUUUGUAUAUUGGCUGUGCACUUUCAGUUACAUUCCCAAUAAAAAUACCUUUCAAAUUA
This is a long non-coding RNA of Rhincodon typus (whale shark), 1246 nucleotides long. RefSeq lists it as uncharacterized. The transcript is spliced from 3 exons. The record is from RefSeq and is a predicted model, not a curated record. NCBI's taxonomy places the organism in Eukaryota, Metazoa, Chordata, Chondrichthyes, Orectolobiformes, Rhincodontidae.